GGAGGGGUGGCAGAGCGGUCGAAUGCGCCGGUCUUGAAAACCGGAGAGCCGUCAGGCUCCGUGGGUUCGAAUCCCACCCCCUCCGCCA
This 88-nucleotide transfer RNA is filed under the name Elioraea sp. Yellowstone. RNAcentral describes it as "tRNA-Ser". It matches the Rfam family "tRNA". From Rfam's summary of the family: Transfer RNA (tRNA) molecules are approximately 80 nucleotides in length. Their secondary structure includes four short double-helical elements and three loops (D, anti-codon, and T loops). Further hydrogen bonds mediate the characteristic L-shaped molecular structure. tRNAs have two regions of fundamental functional importance: the anti-codon, which is responsible for specific mRNA codon recognition, and the 3' end, to which the tRNAs corresponding amino acid is attached (by aminoacyl-tRNA synthetases). tRNAs cope with the degeneracy of the genetic code in two manners: having more than one tRNA (with a specific anti-codon) for a particular amino acid; and 'wobble' base-pairing, i.e. permitting non-standard base-pairing at the 3rd anti-codon position. Lineage: Bacteria; Pseudomonadati; Pseudomonadota; Alphaproteobacteria; Acetobacterales; Elioraeaceae. The record is from RNAcentral.